Non-coding RNA from Meleagris gallopavo (turkey), 2893 nucleotides. NCBI's taxonomy places the organism in Eukaryota, Metazoa, Chordata, Aves, Galliformes, Phasianidae. The record is from RefSeq and is a predicted model, not a curated record.
AGAUUACUGCUGUAAACUAGAGAUCUUUUCACACAUUGAGCUUUCUAAGGAUAAGGAAUAUAUUUGUGGUAACUGCUUGCCAGAGCAGUGAUAGUUAUGGAGAAACUUUAUGGACUGGGGUAGACUUUAAUUUUCAAGACUUGAGGCAGCCCAGACAAAGGACUAGCAAUUGCACCGUUGUUUUACAAUGAGCCCAGGAUGAACCCAGGACUUCCCUAUGUAGGUGCUUGGAGAGAGUCCUGAACUGAGGAAUAGUUUAACAACUAGCAACUGUGUGCAGAAGACACAAAUACCGAAGACUCUCUUACGAAGAUGGUUGCAAACCCAGCUGAGGAUAGGAGGUAAAGGAUGAAUUAACUUGGAAGAAAGGGAUGAAAUUGGUAAGUGAACAGGAAAUGGAUGAUGUCAGUAGAGCUACCUGUCUUUCUGCUUUGAGAAAGCUUUUCAACAAUAAAAUAAAGCCUCUGCAUUUAUACCAAUCAGAAAAGGAGAUAAUUCACAGCAUCAGAGGACUUCUUGUUCACCCAUGAUUUCCUAACACUCACUUGUCAUUUUAAGUUUUCUAUGAUGCACUGUAAGGUUACCCUGCACUUUAUGAAUGAUGAAAUUCUUUUGAGAAAUACUCAGUAUUUGAGGUUUGUACAUGAAAAACAAAAUAUUCUCAAAUUCUACAUGAAUACUAAUUGUAGAAACAAUUGAGGCUGAAAAAAAAAAAGACCUCACUUGGUAAAUGCAUUUUAUCUCAAAAGAAUAGUAAUUUGCAAUAUACGUCUUGAACAGCAAAGAACCAAGAAAUGGAGCAUGGCCAGAAGUCCUAACUCAGUAGAAAGGACAGGAAUGAGACACCUAACAAAAAUAUCCUCAAGGUGUUACAAUACUAUAUUAACUGCUAGUGGUCGAUAUCAUUUCAUUUUGCCAUUCCUGAAGUCUUCCAACCACUCAUUGUGUCAAACACCACCCCUACUUCCACCUGAAAAUUGUUCCUGUCAAAAUAUUCAUUUGCUAUGAACUGCAUUAAUUGGAUAAAAAAUCACAGUGAUGCAAAAUUCCUUACUAUAUCUAUUUAUGAAAAUGAAAUUCCAAUGCAAUAAACACUUUGUUAUUGUAGAGAUACACCUGCUCUAAAAUCAGGAAGCCAUUAUAUGUAAUCCAACCAUAUAUUAUAAUAUAUUAUCUAGAAAAUUAGAUAAAAUGUAAUAAAGGUCAAGCAUACCUCUGAAGUGGUUAUUUAAUCAGGCAGUGCUGGCUUUACAUAUUUCAGCCACAAAACAACUGGGAGCAUACUGAGGAUACGUGAUACUGAAAAUGUCUAUGCUGAACAUUUAUAUAUUCCAGAUAAAUUUUGUGUCUUAUGUCAUAUCACUGAAUCAUAGAAUGACUUGUGUCGGAUGAGACCUUAAAGAUCAUCCAGUUCCAACUCCCUACUGCAGGCAGCGUUGCCACCACUACAUCAGGAAGCUCCGUUCAACCCCAGCCCUGAAUGCCUCUGGGGAUGGAUCAUCCACAGCUUCUCUGGGCAACCCGAAUAUUUAAAUACAUAUCAAGCUGUAUUCAUACUGAUAGAAAUUUGCUUGGAUGUUGAAACAUAAUUAACUAACUCCAGGAGGGGUAGUAUACACAUGACAUGAUGAUAUAAAGCUAGGAUGAGUGGUUGGCACACCAGAAGGCUGUCCAGAUAUUCAGCAAUACCUGGACAGAUUGGAGAGUUGGAACCUUAUGGGGUUCCACAAGGGCGAGUGUAGAAUCCUACACUGGGGAAGGAGGAAUAACUGCACGUCAGUGCAAGUUAGGGGCUGACCUGCUGGAAAUUAACUCUGAGGAUAAGGAUCUGGGUGUCCUGAUGGACAGCAGGUUGGCUAUGAGCCAGCAGUGUGCCUUUGUGGCCAGGAAGGCCAUUGCUAUCCUAGGGUGCAAUAAGAAGGGUCAAAGGAGAUAAUCCUCACCCUCUACUCUACCCUAGUGAGACCAGAUUUGGAGUACUGUGUUCAGCUCUGGGAUCCCUACUUCAAAAAAAGACAGGGAUCUCCUAGAAAGAGUCCAGUGGAAGACCACAAAGAUGAUUAGGGGUCUGGAGCAUCUCAUACGAGGAAAGACUGAGCAACCUGGAACUGUUCAGAUGGCAGUAAACUGAGAGGGAAUCUUAUCAAAGCUUAUAAAUAUGUAAGGUGUGGAAGUCAAGUGGGGGUAGGAUCUUUCCAGUGAUGCCCAGUGACAGAACAAGAAAUUCCAUAUGAAUCAUAUGAAUAUGGGGAAAAACUUCCUUACAGCAUAGGAUGUAGUAAGAAAGCAUACAAUUCUGUAUGUACUUACUAAAUAUUUUCUCAGAAACAAUUUUAUAUCUUGGGAAAGGUGGUGACUCUGUUUCACUGUGUGACAGAAAGCACUUUCUGAUCUGUUUGUUUGCAGCCACUGUUUGUCAAAUCAUGUCUUGAGGGAAAUUCAGUUGCUGGGACUUAGUUAAUUUGAAGCAAUCCAAUUAUUAUCAUUAGGUUAGUAGCCAACUUCAGCAAGCAUGAUUUCUGGUUUUGAGAGCUGGCCACUGGAAAGGAAAGCAGACAUAAUUUAGUAUGGUAGUAGGAAACUCUGCAAAUGGCUCAGAAUACAAAUGGUACAUUGAGAUUAAAAUCUCAUUUUAUCUCUGUUCUAUGGGCUGCUGUGAAAAUGGGAUUUUAUGUUUGUAUGGUUUUUUUAAAAAAUUAUUUAUUAAAUCCAAGUAUCUAGAAUAGAAUUAAAAAUGGAACAAGUGCUUUAUAGACAGCUUUCUGCAAAUUUACAGAAACUAAAAAAGGUUAAUAGGGCAGAGAAGAAGUAGAAAAGUGGAAGAAUAGAAAAGGCAUAAAAUAAGACUUAAGGGAUGAAAAGGAGCAUCAAAAAUAUACUACUGAUAAACACU